GACGAACGCUGGCGGCGUGCUUAACACAUGCAAGUCGAACGGAAAGGCCCUGCUUUUGUGGGGUGCUCGAGUGCCGCACGGGUGAGUAACACGUGAGUAUCCUGCCCUUGUCUUUGGGAUAUCUUCACGAAACUGCGGCUAAUACCGCAUAUGAUCUCCUGCUGCGUGUUGUUGAUUGGAGAGUUUCGGCGGUUGUGGAUGGACUCGCGGCUUACCAGCUUGUUGGUCGGGUAGGGGCUUACGAAGUCUUAGACGGGUAGCCGGCCUGAGAGGGUGACCGGGCACAUUGGGACUGAGAGACGGAGCAGACGCCUACGGGAGGCAGUAGUGGGGAAUAUUGCAGAAUGGGCGGAAGCGUGAUGCAGCAACGCCGGGUGCGGGAUGACGGCCUUCGGGGUGUAAACAGAUGUGGACUGUGACAAAGAGGGAGUGACGGUAAUGGGUAAAGAAGCACCGGCUAACUACGUG
RNAcentral lists this ribosomal RNA (468 nucleotides) under uncultured bacterium. RNAcentral's name for it is "partial 16S ribosomal RNA". It matches the Rfam family "Bacterial small subunit ribosomal RNA", at positions 28 to 507 of the family's 1533-position model. The record is from RNAcentral.